CGUCAUGAAAGUCGGUAACACCCGAAGCCAGUGGCCUAACCCUUGGGAGGGAGCUGUCGAAGGUGGGAUCGGCGAUUGGGACGAAGUCGUAACAAGGUAGCCGUACCGGAAGGUGCGGCUGGAUCACCUCCUUUCU
Molecule: ribosomal RNA, 136 nt
Filed under: Mycobacterium intracellulare
Lineage: Bacteria; Bacillati; Actinomycetota; Actinomycetes; Mycobacteriales; Mycobacteriaceae
Also listed under: 5 other names
Description: partial 16S rRNA
Rfam family: Bacterial small subunit ribosomal RNA
Source: RNAcentral